UACGGAAGGCAGCAGUGGGGAAUAUUGCACAAUGGGCGCAAGCCUGAUGCAGCCAUGCCGCGUGUAUGAAAAAGGCCUUCGGGUUGUAAAGUACUUUCAGUCGUGAGGAGGUGUUAAGGUUAAUAACCUUAGCAAUUGACGUUAGCGACAGAAGAAGCACCGGCUAACUCCGUGCCAGCAGCCGCGGUAAUACGGAGGGUGCGAGCGUUAAUCGGAAUUACUGGGCGUAAAGGGCACGCAGGCGGUUAAUUAAGUUGGAUGUGAAAUCCCCGGGCUUAACCUGGGAAUGGCAUUCAAGACUGGUUAGCUAGAGUCUUGUAGAGGGGGUAGAAUUCCAUGUGUAGCGGUGAAAUGCGUAGAGAUGUGGAGGAAUACCGGUGGCGAAGGCGGCCCCUGGACAAAGGACUGACGCUCAUGUGCGAAAGCGUGGGGAGCAAACAGGGAUUAGAUACC
Molecule: ribosomal RNA, 453 nt
Filed under: uncultured bacterium
Lineage: Bacteria
Description: bacterial SSU rRNA
Rfam family: Bacterial small subunit ribosomal RNA
Source: RNAcentral